CAGCCUGAUGCAGCCAUGCCGCGUGUAUGAAGAAGGCCUUCGGGUUGUAAAGUACUUUCAGUUGUGAGGAAGGGUGUGUAGUUAAUAGCUGCSUAUCUUGACGUUAGCAACAGAAGAAGCACCGGCUAACUCCGUGCCAGCAGCCGCGGUAAU
Molecule: ribosomal RNA, 153 nt
Filed under: uncultured bacterium
Lineage: Bacteria
Description: partial 16S ribosomal RNA
Rfam family: Bacterial small subunit ribosomal RNA
Source: RNAcentral